AUGACGAUCAGGGCGUCCCUCUACGUGGAUGACGUGGCUAUUUUUCUUGCUCCCAUCAAAGCCGAAGUCAAGUUCUUUGUGGACACGCUGGCCCACUUUGGAGAGAUUACAGGCCUGCAUACCAACUGCUCGAAAAGCCUAGUGGCCCCAAUCCGAUGUGACAACUUGGAUCUGAAUGAUAUCCUCCUCUUCUUCCCGGCCAACCGAUCAUCUUUCCCUAUGAAAUACCUGGGUCUGCCGUUGUCGAUCAAAAGAUUAAAUAGAGUCCACUUCCAACCCCUCGAGGAUAAGACUGCAGCUCAACUUACGCCUUGGAUGGGCAAACACGUCGCAUCGCCUGGAAGGGUUGUGCUUGUCAAGUCAGUUGUAACGGUGAUUGCUAUAUAUUACUUGACGGUGCUAAACCUCCCUGUAGAGGUCAUGAAAAAGAUCGACUCCCUGUGGCGUGCAUAUCUCUGGGCUGGUUGUGACAAGGUUUCUAGUGGAAAAUGCAAAAUCAACUGGGAGCAAGUGUGCAAAUCUAAAAUGCAUGGUGGCCUAGGUAUUCUCAACUUGGAAAAAUUUGUUACUGCCCUUCGCAUCCGGUGGUUGUGGGGAGCUUGGACGGAUCCAAGUAAGCCUUGGGUAAACUUGGGUAACCCGUGUGAUGACAAAGAUAAAGACAUAUUUGCUGCUGCCACCAAGGUUCUGAUUGGAGAUGGGAUAAGGGCUUCGUUUUGGGAGUCUGCUUGGCUGAAUGGUAUGAGACCCAAAGACAUCGCGCCAAAUAUUUUUGCGAUCUCUGCAAGAAAAAACUACAUUGUCUAG
Molecule: ribosomal RNA, 807 nt
Filed under: Triticum aestivum (bread wheat)
Lineage: Eukaryota; Viridiplantae; Streptophyta; Magnoliopsida; Poales; Poaceae
Description: partial small subunit ribosomal RNA
Source: RNAcentral